GGCUCAACUCAGGGACUGCAUUUGAAACUGGAUAUCUAGAGUGCGGGAGAGGUAAGUGGAAUUCCUAGUGUAGCGGUGAAAUGCGUAGAGAUUAGGAAGAACACCAGUGGCGAAGGCGACUUACUGGACCGCAACUGACACUGAGGCACGAAAGCGUGGGUAGCAAACAGGAUUAGAUACCCUGGUAGUCCACGCCGUAAACGAUGAGUACUAGGUGUAGGGGGUAUCGACUCCCCCUGUGCCGCAGUUAACACAAUAAGUACUCCGCCUGGGAAGUACGAUCGCAAGAUUAAAACUCAAAGGAAUUGACGGGGGCCCGCACAAGCAGCGGAGCAUGUGGUUUAAUUCGAAGCAACGCGAAGAACCUUACCUAGACUUGACAUCCCCUGAAUUACUCGUAACUGAGGAAGCCCUUCGGGGCAGGGAGACAGGUGGUGCAUGGUUGUCGUCAGCUCGUGUCGUGAGAUGUUAGGUUAAGUCCUGCAACGAGCGCAACCCUUAUCAUUAGUUGCUACCAUUCAGUUGAGCACCCUAGUGAGACUGCCCGGGUUAACCGGGAGGAAGGUGGGGAUGACGUCAAAUCAUCAUGCCCCUUAUGUUUAGGGCUACACACGUGCUACAAUGGUGAGUACAAAGAGAUGCAAUCCCGCGAGGGGGAGCCAAACUCU
RNAcentral lists this ribosomal RNA (668 nucleotides) under uncultured bacterium. RNAcentral describes it as "bacterial SSU rRNA". It matches the Rfam family "Bacterial small subunit ribosomal RNA", at positions 606 to 1276 of the family's 1533-position model. The record is from RNAcentral.